RNAcentral lists this unclassified non-coding RNA (314 nucleotides) under Hevea brasiliensis (rubber tree). Lineage: Eukaryota; Viridiplantae; Streptophyta; Magnoliopsida; Malpighiales; Euphorbiaceae. The record is from RNAcentral.
GAAAUCAGUCCACUGUCAUUGGUAAGCUCAUGCAACAUCUGAAUCGAGCUUUGCGCACGCUGGUCAUGAUCUCUGUCUCUGCAUUCUCAAGCAUUUCGACAACUUCAAUGAAAGGCGGCCUAACAUUAGGGUUGGCAUCCCAGCAACGGGUCAUGAUCUCACCAAGAGCAGGUAAGCAAUCAUUGGGAAUGACAGGUCGAACACCCUUGUUGACGACUGCAAAUGCAGCCUGCACUGCUGUCAUGUUCUGGAAAGGAAGCAUACCUGUGAUGAGUUCCCAUAAAACAAUACCAAAACUAUAGACAUCCACUUUU